RNAcentral lists this ribosomal RNA (301 nucleotides) under uncultured bacterium. RNAcentral's name for it is "partial 16S ribosomal RNA". It matches the Rfam family "Bacterial small subunit ribosomal RNA", at positions 509 to 809 of the family's 1533-position model. The record is from RNAcentral.
CAGUCGCCGCGGUAAUACGUAGGUGGCAAGCGUUGUCCGGAAUUAUUGGGCGUAAAGGGUGCGUAGGCGGUUUGAUAAGUCUUGUGUGAAAUCUAUGGGCUCAACCCAUAGUCUGCAUAGGAAACUGUCGGGCUUGAGAGUGGGAGAGGUGAGUGGAACUGCGAGUGUAGAGGUGAAAUUCGUAGAUAUUCGCAAGAACACCGGUGGCGAAGGCGGCUCACUGGUCCGGAACUUACGCUGAGGCACGACAGCGUGGGGAGCAAACAGGAUUAGAUACCCCCGUAGUCCCUGUCUCUUAUAA